ACACCGUUGGUGAAACGGUAUCAUGCACCGUUGCCAUUGGACUCAACUCCUUACAACGACUCGGUGCGGCAAGGGUUCGACUCCCUUACGGUGUA
Kwoniella dejecticola CBS 10117 is the source of this 95-nucleotide non-coding RNA. Lineage: Eukaryota; Fungi; Basidiomycota; Tremellomycetes; Tremellales; Cryptococcaceae. The record is from the annotation of a GenBank genome assembly.